UACGGCGAGUGAGCGGCAAGCUCAAWUUUGAAAUCUGGUACCUUCGGUGCCCGAGUUGUAAUUUGGAGAGGGCAACUUUGGGGCCGUUCCUUGUCUAUGUUCCUUGGAACAGGACGUCAUAGAGGGUGAGAAUCCCGUGUGGCGAGGAGUGCGGUUCUUUGUAAAGUGCCUUCGAAGAGUCGAGUUGUUUGGGAAUGCAGCUCUAAGUGGGUGGUAAAUUCCAUCUAAAGCUAAAUAUUGGCGAGAGACCGAUAGCGAACAAGUACAGUGAUGGAAAGAUGAAAAGAACUUUGAAAAGAGAGUGAAAAAGUACGUGAAAUUGUUGAAAGGGAAGGGCAUUUGAUCAGACAUGGUGUUUUGUGCCCUCUGCUCCUUGUGGGUAGGGGAAUCUCGCAUUUCACUGGGCCAGCAUCAGUUUUGGUGGCAGGAUAAAUCCAUAGGAAUGUAGCUUGCCUCGGUAAGUAUUAUAGCCUGUGGGAAUACUGCCAGCUGGGACUGAGGACUGCGACGUAAGUCAAGGAUGCUGGCAUAAUGGUUAUAUG
This 542-nucleotide ribosomal RNA is filed under the name Saccharomyces cerevisiae (brewer's yeast). RNAcentral's name for it is "partial large subunit ribosomal RNA". The record is from RNAcentral. Lineage: Eukaryota; Fungi; Ascomycota; Saccharomycetes; Saccharomycetales; Saccharomycetaceae.